AUCCUCCCAGGGUUGCAUCUGGAGAGUUCCAGUACUCUACCAGUCUCAGCUAUAGGAGGGAGAGUCAAGCAGAGGCCUACCCAUUCCAUUUGUAGCUUGGGCAGUGGUUAGCGAAUGGAAGGCAAUCUGCUCCAAAU
Tachyglossus aculeatus (Australian echidna) is the source of this 137-nucleotide small nucleolar RNA. NCBI's taxonomy places the organism in Eukaryota, Metazoa, Chordata, Mammalia, Monotremata, Tachyglossidae. The record is from RefSeq and is a predicted model, not a curated record.